ACCGCAGGUAAGACGCGCCGAUCUGCGCCCGCGGCGGCCGGGCCUCCCCUCGCGCGCACCUGCGCGCCUCCGGGGCCGCGUGGGCGGCGGGCAGGGGGCCGAGGUGAGGGGUCCAGUGGGCCGGACAAAGGCGCGAGGGUGGGGGCUGCCGACGCACCUGGCCGGGCCGGUCCCCGCCGCCGCGGAGGCGGCCCGGGUCUGCGCCGGGCCGGGAGGGGCCGCCGAGCGCGCGUGUGCGCGGCCUGGAGAGAGGGGUCCCCACCCAGGCACCGGCUGGGCCCCGGCCGUCCGCGGCGGGCGCUGAUUCAGAGCCGGCGCCGCCCCCUCCCCCUCCGGGCCCAGCGCUCCCGCCGGCCGCCUCCCGGCCUGGCCUCAUCUCCACGGCCCCUCCCUCCACCUUCCUCCUCCUCUCUGUCUCCUCGUUUCCCUUCCCCGCCGCCGCCGCCGCCUCUCCGCCGUCCCUGCCUCCUCUCCCGGCCCGGCCCCGGCCUCGGUUCCGUCUGUCCCUUCCAGCCGCCCGCCGCCGCCGCCGCCGCUCCCAGCCCUUCCCAGCCCCUGCCCCGGGCGACUCCUCCUCCCCGCACCCCUGGGCGGGUGGCCCUUCUGGCUGGGGCGGCCGAGGGGACAAGUUUGGGGUGUUUAUUAUUCUCCCUCCUAGCAACGAUGGCCAGCCCAGCUCCGAACCGGCCGCAGGCUGCUGAGGAGCGUCCACCACUCCAGGCCCGGGCCUUUUUGGGAUGGGCUGGCAGUGGCAGGGGCGGCCUGGCUCGGCCACAGCCGCAUCACCGGGCUCUGGGGGUUUGGCCUCCCUUUGCCAGCAGAGGCUGUGGCCUUCUGUGGGUGGGGUCUCCGUUCCCAACUGCUGAUGGGGACCUAGUAGCAGGUGACGGCAGAGGGAGGGAGCUGGGCGGGGUGGGGGCUGGGAAGCACCGUGAUGGGGCGGGCAUGCCCCAGGGCUGCAGGGGCUUGGAGGUCCCCACCCCCCCGGCCUCCAGGGGCGGCCCCUCCGGCUGGACCUUGAGGAAGGGCAGGGGUCCCAGCAUGAGGGGCUCUGGCCGGCCGGGCCUUCUUCCGGGUGGAUUUCGUGUGUCUUCCCACGUGCUUGCCGAGGUGGCACGGGGUAUGGGGAUGCCAUGGAUCACACGCUCACUUGGGCCUUCACCGAUGGUGGAGACCUGGCUCUCAGGAGCCUCAGGCAGAGCUCCGGUGUGGGCGUUGCAGGGAGGAGGCCUGGGGGUGCUCCCCCAGGGUGCCAGCACCUUUCUGUCUCUUCCUGGUUAG
This 1281-nucleotide long non-coding RNA is filed under the name Bos indicus x Bos taurus (hybrid cattle). RNAcentral describes it as "lncRNA (ENSBIXG00000013465.1)". The record is from RNAcentral. Lineage: Eukaryota; Metazoa; Chordata; Mammalia; Artiodactyla; Bovidae.